This 462-nucleotide ribosomal RNA is filed under the name uncultured bacterium. RNAcentral describes it as "partial 16S ribosomal RNA". It matches the Rfam family "Bacterial small subunit ribosomal RNA", at positions 28 to 506 of the family's 1533-position model. The record is from RNAcentral.
GAUGAACGCUGACAGAAUGCUUAACACAUGCAAGUCUUUGGCGAAUCUGUGCUUGCACAGGCUAGCCAAGGCGGACGGGUGAGUAACGCGUAAAGAACUUGCCCUGCAGACAGGGAUAACAGACGGAAACGACUGAUAACACCUGAUACAGUUGCCGGCACGCAUGUGCCUGGCAAUGAAAAGAGAUGCUGCAGGAGAGCUUUGCGUCCUAUUAGCUCGUUGGUGAGGUGACGGCUCACCAAGGCGAUGAUAGGUAGCCGGCCUGAGAGGGUGAACGGCCACAAGGGGACUGAGAUACGGCCCUUACUCCUACGGGAGGCAGCAGUGGGGAAUAUUGGACAAUGGGGGCAACCCUGAUCCAGCAAUUCUGUGUGCACGAAGAAGGUUUUCGGAUUGUAAAGUGCUUUCAGCAGGGAAGAAGAAAGUGACGGUACCUGCAGAAGAAGCGACGGCUAAAUACGU